RNAcentral lists this ribosomal RNA (439 nucleotides) under uncultured bacterium. Its description in RNAcentral is "partial 16S ribosomal RNA". It matches the Rfam family "Bacterial small subunit ribosomal RNA", at positions 339 to 795 of the family's 1533-position model. The record is from RNAcentral.
CUACGGGAGGCUGCAGUGGGGAAUCUUGCACAAUGGAGGAAACUCUGAUGCAGCGAUGCCGCGUGAGUGAAGAAGGCCCUUGGGUUGUAAAGCUCUUUUGUCGGGAAAGAUAAUGACUGUACCCGAAGAAUAAGGUCCGGCUAACUUCGUGCCAGCAGCCGCGGUAUUACGAAGGGACCUAGCGUAAUUCGGAAUUACUGGGCGUAAAGCGCGCGUAGGCGGUUAAGUAAGUUAAUUGUGAAAGCCCAAAGCUCAACUUUGGAAUUGCAAUUAAAACUACUUAGCUAGAGUUUAUCAGAGGAAAGCGGAAUACAUAGUGUAGAGGUGAAAUUCAUAGAUAUUAUGUAGAACACCAGUUGCGAAGGCGGCUUUCUGGGAUAACACUGACGCUGAGGUGCGAAAGUAUGGGUAGCGAAGAGGAUUAGAUACCCCCGUAGUC